RNAcentral lists this ribosomal RNA (180 nucleotides) under uncultured Glomeromycotina. RNAcentral's name for it is "partial small subunit ribosomal RNA". Lineage: Eukaryota; Fungi; Glomeromycota. The record is from RNAcentral.
GACCUGGCUGGGUGGUCUUGCCGAAAGGUAAGUACUGCACCGGUUGGGUCUUUCCUUCUGGGGAACCAGUGUGCUCUUAACUGGGUGCAUUGGGGAUCCAGGACUUUUACUUUGAAAAAAUUAGAGUGUUUAAAGCAGGCGAAACAGCUUGAAUACAUUAGCAUGGAAUAAUAAAAGAGG